RNAcentral lists this ribosomal RNA (253 nucleotides) under uncultured bacterium. RNAcentral describes it as "partial 16S ribosomal RNA". It matches the Rfam family "Archaeal small subunit ribosomal RNA", at positions 474 to 727 of the family's 1478-position model. The record is from RNAcentral.
UACCAGCACCCCGAGUGGUCGGGACGUUUAUUGGGCCUAAAGCAUCCAUAGCCGGUUCUACGAGUCUUCCGUUAAAUCCAACUGCUUAACAGGUGGGCUGCGGAAGAUACUAUAGGGCUAGGAGGCGGGAGAGGCAAGCGGUACUCAGUGGGUAGGGGUAAAAUCCUCUGAUCCAUUGAAGACCACCAGUGGCGAAGGCGGCUUGCCAGAACGCGCUCGACGGUGAGGGAUGAAAGCUGGGGGAGCAAACCGG